CCUACGGGCGGCUGCAGUAGGGAAUCUUCCGCAAUGGACGAAAGUCUGACGGAGCAACGCCGCGUGAGCGAAGAAGGUCUUCGGAUCGUAAAGCUCUGUUGUUAGGGAAGAACAAGUACGGGAGGAAAUGACCGUACAUUGACGGUACCUGACGAGGAAGCCACGGCUAACUACGUGCCAGCAGCCGCGGUAAUACGUAGGUGGCAAGCGUUGUCCGGAAUUAUUGGGCGUAAAGUGCGCGCAGGCGGUCUUUUAAGUCUGAUGUGAAAUCUUGCGGCUCAACCGCAAGCGGUCAUUGGAAGCUGGGAGGUGUGAGUGCAGAAGGGGUAAGCGGAAUGCCAGGGGUGGCGGUGAGAGGCAUGGGGAUGGAGAGGAGCACGGGUAGCGAAGGCGGGAUUCUGGUCGGGAACAGACGCUGAGGGGCGAUAGCGUGGGUAGCAAACAGGAGAAGAUAGCUGAGUAGGC
This 465-nucleotide ribosomal RNA is filed under the name uncultured bacterium. RNAcentral describes it as "bacterial SSU rRNA". It matches the Rfam family "Bacterial small subunit ribosomal RNA", at positions 338 to 795 of the family's 1533-position model. The record is from RNAcentral.